This 199-nucleotide long non-coding RNA is filed under the name Capsicum annuum. Its description in RNAcentral is "long non-coding RNA (CANN_LNC015203)". The record is from RNAcentral. Lineage: Eukaryota; Viridiplantae; Streptophyta; Magnoliopsida; Solanales; Solanaceae.
UUUUAUGGAGGAUUCACAUUCUGUAUUAUUUUGAAAACAAGAGAAAGCGGCUUAGCUUGAGGAGAGAGAGAGAGAGAAACGUUUUUCUCUCUUAUUUUCGCUAUUCAUCUUCUCCACCAAGAUCGUUCUAAGUUUUGGUAUGAUGAAUAUUUCUAUUGUGAUUUCUGUUUUAUUCAUGAGUAGCUAAGUUUAUUUGUUA